CAGUAGCCGCGGGAAUACGAAGGGGGCUAGCGUUGUUCGGAAUUACUGGGCGUAAAGGGCGCGUAGGCGGCCAUUCAAGUUAGAUGUGAAAGCCCUGGGCUCAACCUAGGAAUUGCAUUUGAUACUGUUUGGCUUGAGUUCGGGAGAGGUGAGUGGAAUUCCCAGUGUAGAGGUGAAAUUCGUAGAUAUUGGGAAGAACACCAGUGGCGAAGGCGGCUCACUGGACCGACACUGACGCUGAGGCGCGAAAGCGUGGGGAGCGAACAGGAUUAGAUACCCGAGUAGUCCCUGUCUCUUAUAC
This 301-nucleotide ribosomal RNA is filed under the name uncultured bacterium. RNAcentral describes it as "partial 16S ribosomal RNA". It matches the Rfam family "Bacterial small subunit ribosomal RNA", at positions 509 to 807 of the family's 1533-position model. The record is from RNAcentral.